This 2312-nucleotide long non-coding RNA is filed under the name Homo sapiens (human). RNAcentral's name for it is "HSALNT0365231". The record is from RNAcentral. Lineage: Eukaryota; Metazoa; Chordata; Mammalia; Primates; Hominidae.
ACCAAAGCUUUGGGGGCAGGUGGAAGGCUCUUGGAGACCCCAGUUUUGUAGGACAAAUUCCCCUCUGAUUUGCUCUCCUCUCUUUUCUGUGUUGCUCUUUCCUCUUGUCUUCCCUGUCUGUUGCAGGGAGAGCACAAAGAGGAGGUAGGGCACAAGCACCACCCAUCAAACUCUCAUUUUCUUUCAAGAAAAAAUUACAAUUAUGAAAGAAUAUAUUAUAGCCAACCCACAAUUUUGUGUGACCUUGGGGAUAUGGGAGAGUUAAGUCUAUGGGUGGCCUUCAAAUUACUCUCCACAGUCUAAGUCUAAUUCUAAUCUCUUCUCUCGCUCACCCAGCCUUUCAUGAGAAAAGCAAAAUAGACAUCUGUGUUGGACUGCAGUGUUGUCUACUUCCCCAGCAUCCAUUCACCCCUCUCUCACUGCAGAGCAGCCAUGUUACCUGAGCAGGACUCAACUUCUGGGUUGGUCCCUAAUGGGCUAAGCCAAUGACAGUAUUCUUACCUUCCCUGGCCUCAGUGAUUGGGUAAGGAAAAGGCAUAUAACCCAGCACCAAGCCAAUCAAUGCAUAGGAUUCUCUUGGCCAUGGUGAUUGGCUUGAGAGCUACCUUGUGAUGUAAGUUGGUCCAAUCAGAGAGAAAGUUGGGAUUUGUGGUAAAAGUUGGGAGUAAGAAAAGCCUUUUAAACCUCCGUGGUUAUGAAAAAGGAAGCAUGUGACCCCGGAGGUGCUAGCACACAUUUUGCUAUUGUGAGGGAAUUCAAUCUGAGAAUGGGCCUGAUACAUUAGAAAAGGAGAGUGGAGAGAAUCACAAAGCAAUGUAGCCAAGGAUUAUGAGACAUUACCAACCUCUGGGUGAAACUCCUCCUGAAGCUGACAUUUCCCCUGGGGAUUCCAAUUUCAUGAGUCAAUAGAUUUCCUAUUGGUUAAGUAAUUUUGAGUUUGAUUUUCUGUUAUAUACAGUGGACAGUAUAAUAUCUUUACAUUUGAUUCCUUCUGUUCUUUCAGCUACAGGCCUCGUGAAAGCUUUUGCAGAGUGUAUCUGCAGGCCUGCGUUGGGCAGGGUUCCAGGGGAAGACUGGGCUUCAGAUGAACUCCUCUCCCAGAAGCUUAACUCAGUCCCCAGGGUCAGGCUGGUAGGGGGAGGGAAGGAGGGAGGAGUAAAAGGCCAGAGAAUCCACAUUCUGGAAGGUCAGGCCCUUUCCACUCAGCUGGGCAAACUCUCCCUGCUCAGCCCCGAGUCAGUCUUCAGAGCACCUUUCAGCUCCAGGUACAGAUUCCCCAGACUGGGAUCCAAGACCGACCCUCCUGGACUCAUCUUCCACUGCUCCCCUCUGUGUACCCCACUGCCAGCCAGACUCCAGCACACCACCCCUCUCCUCCCCUGCCCAUCUACUUACUGGGGGUCCCUUUGCCUGGAAACUCCCACUCCUAUCUGUUUGGAUGUCACUCAUCUCUCAAGCCCUGCCUCAACACCACCCCUGAAGCCUCCCCUGACUUUAAUAAUCCACCCAAAACCCUCUUCCUCCUGCGGGAGCUUCAUCUGAAUCUGUGUGAAUUGUGGUUGGGUGGGUGGCAUGAGAAAAUGUGUAGUUUGAAAAGUCAUACUCAACAUGUCUAUUGUUUUUGUCCAUAAACUGCCAAAAGUUAGGUUAACAAACUGCUCUGGAUUAAUGGAAUUAUACUUCAGACAGCAAGAGAAAGCAUUGCUGGGGUCAUAGGCUAAAAAAAAAAUGUUGAGAACUCACACUCUAAUUGAUGAAUCCUCUUCUCUGUUCGACUUCUAAGGGCCCUUGCACCUUUCUGUAGCACUCGAUGGGCCCUGCCUUACACUGCAGUUGUUUGUAUAUUGAUCUUGCUCCUUUGCUAGGUCAUAACCACCACUGACUGGCAGAACUGGGAGGGCCUUGGGAUAUCACCGGAUUCAGGGAUCCACCACCUCUUCUUCACGAGUUGCACGUGAGCAAUGGUUCACCUUUGCAGUGAGCUGCUAAGGUUAUUUUAAAAACUGAGUUUGAAAGCUGUCACCCCUCACCUUUCUUUCAUAUUCAAGAAAGCAUAAAAGAAACUGAGUGAUUCUGGAACAAAGAGGUCACUGCGUGGCUUUUAAAAGGCCUUCGUGAAACCAUGGUCUUGACAGCUUAAUUUGUAGAGAUAAAAUGCUUUUUGUUACAUUUAUGAAACAACUCUUUGCAUCAGCAGCACCAAGCUUGGAGGCCUGGGCAUAGCUUUAAGCUAGGGCUUUGUGUUUGUCCGUUUGCAUUGCUAUAAAGUGAUACCUGAGGCUGGGUAAUUUAUUUAAAAAAGGAGGUAUAUU